This 254-nucleotide ribosomal RNA is filed under the name uncultured bacterium. RNAcentral describes it as "partial 16S ribosomal RNA". It matches the Rfam family "Bacterial small subunit ribosomal RNA", at positions 524 to 776 of the family's 1533-position model. The record is from RNAcentral.
UACGUAGGGUGCGAGCGUUGUCCGGAAUUAUUGGGCGUAAAGAGCUCGUAGGCGGUCUGUCGCGUCGGUCGUGAAAACUUGGGGCUUAACCCCGAGCUUGCGGUCGAUACGGGCAUGACUGGAGUUCGGCAGGGGAGACUGGAAUUCCUGGUGUAGCGGUGAAAUGCGCAGAUAUCAGGAGGAACACCGGUGGCGAAGGCGGGUCUCUGGGCCGAUACUGACGCUGAGGAGCGAAAGCGUGGGGAGCGAACAGG